RNAcentral lists this long non-coding RNA (1992 nucleotides) under Phaseolus vulgaris (common bean). Its description in RNAcentral is "long non-coding RNA (PVUL_LNC005366)". The record is from RNAcentral. Lineage: Eukaryota; Viridiplantae; Streptophyta; Magnoliopsida; Fabales; Fabaceae.
UAAGAAAAAAUGUUUCUUAGAGAAAAAAGAACAAACAAGCGUAAAAAGAAGAAAGGAGAACACAAAGAAAGAAGAAUAUAAGCAAGAAGAAAAAAAGAAAAAGAAAUGGAAAAAGAAAAUGUAAAAGAAAAAGAAUGAAGAAGAGAAAAAAGAGAAAAGAGAGAAGAAGAAGAAGUCAAAGAAAUGAAAAUGAGAAAAUAAGGUUUCCGGAUUUGUUUUUCUAGACAACAAGGUAAUUACUUUUAAUUUUUUUUUUCUAUAUAUGUUUGAAUGUAUAUAUUUUUCCUUGUUCUUCAUUUUUUUUCUUUCUUUAUUCCUCUUACCUUUUUUCUCUUUUUUUUUGUUUGUUUUUGUAAGCUAAAAGUGAUAUAUUUCUUCUUCUUAAUUUUUUUCAUCUAUUUCUUUUUUUCUUUCUUUCUUUCUUCUUCUUCUUCUUUGUUUUUAAUUUUUGUAAGCUACAAUGUAAAUUACUUUUACAUUUUUUUUCAUGUAUAGGUUUGAAGGGAUAUAUAUAUAUAUAUAUAUUUUUUCUUUCUUUUGCCCCCUUUCUUUAGUCAACCAUAUGAGAAUUCUUUUUAAUUAUAAGAUAUUAUAUUCAACUAAAAAAUGUAAAUAUAAAUAAAAUAAGAUAAUUAAUAUAAUAUAAUAUAAAUAGUUUUAUAAUAUAAUAUAUUUUUAAUUUUUUUGGAUAUGUUUGAAGGGUUAUAUUUCUUCUUUUUCUUUCUUUUUUCUUCUUUGAUUUUUUUAAGCUAUAAGGUAAAAUAUUUUUAAAAAAAAUUCUUUUUUUUUCUUUUUUUUCUUUUUUCUUUCUUUUUUCUUCUGUGUUUUUAGUUUUUUAAGUUACAAAGUAAAUUAUUUUUUAUUUUUUUUCAUAUAUAGGUUGAAGGAAUAUUUGUUUUUUCUUCUUCUUUCUUGUAUCCCACUUUCUUUUGUUAAUUGUUUGAGAUCUCUUCUUAAUUAUAAUAUAUUAUAUUUAAUUAAAAAAAUAUAAGAUACAGGUACUCAAUCUAAUAUUUAUUUAUACAAUAUUUAGAGUAAAAUAUAUAUAUAUAUAUAUAUAUAUAAUUUAAAUAAAUAAAUCUAACUGGUCUUUUUAGUAUAUUAUAUUCUUUUUUAUAUCAUGUUUCGUUAUUCUGUGAGUGCUUAAAAUAAUAAUAAUAAUCACUUAAAAUUAUACAUUAAUUAAGCACAAAUAUAGGUGAUAUUUGAAUCCAACAUUUAGAUGAAGAUGUGUAUGCAUGUGUCUCAUUCUUAUUUUAAAUUAUUAAAUCACAUUUAAUUUGUUAUGUAACCUGAAAAAUAUAUUUGUAAUUAUUUCUAUGAUCUUUAUUUUGUUUCAUUAAAAGAAUAUUUCUUUUGGUACAUAAUUAAAAAAGUUUUGUUUAAAGGUGUAUUGUUUUUUAGGAAACAAAUAUUAAUUCUAUUGAAUUAAAUUAUUUUCAGAUAUUUAUGUUAUUUAUAGUGUUGUGGUCGAAAAGAUUUGAUACAUGAAGACAGAAAAUCAAUAUAAAAUGUUUAGCCAAAGAACUAUGGGUAGCACCUUUUUAAAGGCAUAAGAUAUUUUUUCUUAUAAUAUUUGUCCUUAUUCUUUAUUUUUAUUUUCUCCUUUUUUCUCAAUUUGGCUAUAUACACUGAACGGAGUAAAAGUUUUUACACUAGUAGUUCAAAUCCAACCGAAAAAUCUUCCACUAACUACUUUGAUUCAGCUUUUCUGGAGAAUCUAAACUUAAAAUUAAGAAUUAAAAACAUGAAUGCACGACGUUACGAAGUUACGAAUCAUAAGAAAAGUUCAAUUUCUUAUUUUCCAUCAUGAUUCUGAUUCGAUCUAAGUCUAAUAUUUCAGUUCCAGUGGAGCAAUUCACCAGAAUGAUAAUUAUACAGAUAGAAGAAAAAGCAAAAGAGGAAAAAAAAGAAGGAAAAUCAUACCACGGAAGUAGCCACCGGAGACGGCGUCGGAAUUUCAAUCGGCGGCUAAGACUGAUGAACUGAGCC